CGCGGGAAUUCGAUUAGAGUUUGAUUAUGGCUCAGGAUGAACGCUAGCGGGAGGCUUAACACAUGCAAGUCGAGGGGCAGCAUAAGGUAGCAAUACUUUGAUGGCGACCGGCGUACGGGUGAGUAACGCGUAUGCAACCUACCCUGUACUGGGGGAUAGCCCGGAGAAAUUCGGAUUAAUACCCCAUAAAGAUAUCAGAAGGCAUCUUCAGAUAUUUAAAGUUUCGACGGUACGGGAUGGGCAUGCGUAACAUUAGCUAGUUGGUAGGGUAACGGCCUACCAAGGCGACGAUGUUUAGGGGUCCUGAGAGGGUGAUCCCCCACACUGGUACUGAGACACGGACCAGACUCCUACGGGAGGCAGCAGUGAGGAAUAUUGGUCAAUGGGCGCAAGCCUGAACCAGCCAUCCCGCGUGCAGGAAGAAGGCGCUAUGCGUCGUAAACUGCUUUUCCAGGGGAAGAAAACCCGUUACGAGUAACGGCUUGCCGGUACCCUGGGAAUAAGCAUCGGCUAACUCCGUGCCAGCAGCCGCGGUAAUACGGAGGAUGCGAGCGUUAUCCGGAUUUAUUNGGUUUAAAGGGUGCGUAGGCGGAUUAAUAAGUCAGUGGUGAAAACC
This 616-nucleotide ribosomal RNA is filed under the name uncultured bacterium. Its description in RNAcentral is "bacterial SSU rRNA". It matches the Rfam family "Bacterial small subunit ribosomal RNA", at positions 1 to 602 of the family's 1533-position model. The record is from RNAcentral.